This is a long non-coding RNA of Aethalodelphis obliquidens (Pacific white-sided dolphin), 3696 nucleotides long. RefSeq lists it as uncharacterized. The record is from RefSeq and is a predicted model, not a curated record. The transcript is spliced from 4 exons. NCBI's taxonomy places the organism in Eukaryota, Metazoa, Chordata, Mammalia, Artiodactyla, Delphinidae.
GCGGUGGCGUCCGUCUGCGUCUCGGGUACCUCUUCAGCCAAGCUGCGCGAGCUCUGCCAGGUGUCCACAUGCUCACCCUUAAAUCUCCCGGUCUCUCUCCUCCCAUUCCGAUCCCUAAACUUGCCCAGCCCGGACCCCUAUGAGCCUUUAUUACUAAAUCUGCUUGGGUCACUCCAGCCCCUCAUGCGAAAUUUUACAUCCGGUAUCCUCGAAGCGUGCCCCCAAAUCUCACAAUGGGCUACUUUACUUGUUUUAAAUCGAAAAACUGGUAGGAGUUUCAAGUGGACUGCAUUUGCUUCUGCUAUCCUAUUGCAUUUUCCUUCCCUUUGGACUUGGUCCAGUUAUUACCUAAUGAGAAGACCAGAAGUGUGAAGUUAAUCUGUCAUGGCCAGGAUUAAGACCCGCCCCGAACAUUGUGUGUUGACACUGCAUGGCCUUGGUGGCAUGCGUCCUGGGCCCGUGAAUAGCAGCUGCACGAAGGCUUGGAGACAUCUCCCCCCUGUUUACUAAUCCCUGGGCACCUCACCAUCCCUUAUUUGUUCCCUCAUCCUGUUCAUACCUCUUACGUGAUCUCCUCAUUGAAUUCUGUUCAGUAAUGUCCCUUUGAAAGUUUUGUCUGUUUUGUUGUAAGACCCUGACUGAUAUCAUUUGCCUUCACCCACCCAGGCAAGCAGUACUGUAAGAAACUCCCUAGUACAUCAUCAGUGGGUUGAACUCAGGCUAAAACAGUGAGAACUGCUGCUUGGGGCCAAACAUUCCACUAUAUUGAUGACACAAGCAUUGAGUGUACUUCAUGCAUUCCAUCAUGUCCCAUGUUGGAAAAAUUGACCAAAGAUGGAUGGGUUCAAAAACUUUUGGAGGUGAUGGAUAUGUUUAUUACCUUGAUUAUGGUGAUGGUAUCACAGGGGUAUGUAUAUGUCCAAACUCUUCAAAAUGUAUACAGUAAAUAUGUGAAACUUUUGGUAUAUAUCAACUAUACCUCAAUAAAUCUUUAAAAGAAAAAAAAAGAAGAAGAAGAAAUGAUUCUGCCACUCAUGGGACCUUCUUGGGUACUUCCUGUGUGGCUACUAGCUAUGGGACUGGAGGCCCAACCUCUGAUUGGCCUAUUUUAGAAACAAGACUCUCUGUACCUAGGAAUUUCACUACAGCCUUUAUAUACCAGACAAACAACCACACGUGGGGAGGGGGCACAUGUGGCAAGAAGCCUGGAAAGUGAUCCAGUCAUCAGUAAAGCAAACCUGUGCCGGAGGCCUCCUCUCCUAUCUCCUUACCACCCAUGGAAUCACAGGUAUCAGUGUUCAAUCUCGAAGCAGGUUGUAGACUGUGGAAAUGGGACUCUACUUUCUCGUCAGCCAGGUCUACAAGAACUUCCUUCUGUUGCCAAGCCUGAAGCUAGCCCAUUCUGGAAAAAGAGACUGUCAGUGAAAAGAAAAUGACUCUGCCACCUGACAUUCUCAACUUGCAUUGAGUCCUAUACCAUCUGAACUGGAAUACCCAGAAAGUUCUGUAGUGAUAUAGAAAUGGUCCCUCCAGUCAAGGCCCAAGCCUGUUUCCUGAUACCUCAGCCAACUUCAGGAACAGGUGGCUGCCCACCCGUUAGACACAGAGAGACCCACCUACUGUUAAGCGUAAGCAGUUGGCUCACUGGGGACCUCUUCAACAAGACUUCCAUAUGACAAAAAAGCAUGGUUCACUGAUGAAAUAGCUUGCUUCUGAGAUGGGCAAACCCCAUGGAAUGCCACAGCCAUAAAUUGUGGAGUUCAGCACUAGACAUACUGAACAAUGUGGUAAACUUCAGAUGCUAUUCUUGGCUGUAGGGCACGCUGCCCCAAGAUGGACAGAAACAAACCUUUACGCAGUGUGUCCAUUAGGGUCCUCCAAGAAACAAAUGCUGGGAUAGGAUUAGAUUCAUGAGAGAUGCACUGCGGUUGUGAGUAGAGGUUGUGAGGGAUAAAAAAUAGGGAGUGAGAACAGGCAAAAAGAGCCUCAGACCAUGAUGCAAUUCUGAUGCUUGGGAAAAGAGAAGGUGGAGGAAAGAGGAUUGGGAAGGAAGAAUCUCAGACUGGACUGCAGCUCUGAGAAUGUCUCAGCCAGGCCGAUGGAGAGUCCUUGAGCCAAAGCUGCCCACUGGAGUAGUCCAGAGACCCACGGGAUUGGCCUGCGCUAACACCCCAUCAUGGUCAGGCCUGGACUGGGAGCACCCCAGAGGAAGUGUGACCUUGAUGCAGAAACGUUGUGGGUAUCAAACGGGAGUUGUCAGUUAAUGAUGCUACCUGCAGCAGGAGAUCUGAGCUAUUUCCAUGGCUGUCACACACAGAACAUCCCUAAUGGUCUAGCAAUUGGUCAGACCAUUGGGACACCCAAAGACUGAAUUAAUAGAGGCAUAACAAUAUGGGGCAUCCCCUGUGGACAUAGUUACGAAGUGGCAAAAUCUAGAGGAAAACAACCUACUUAAAAAGACUGAUGAGGGUAUAUAUGGGCUUUGUGUCUAUCCAUGGCAGCCCAUUGAAUCUAUGCUCUAAUCCACUACACCAAUGGAACCACCAAAAGGAUGGGGAUACCCAACUGGAAAUUCUUUUGACACAAAUAGAAGCUACUGCUACUGAAAAAGCUUGCGUUCUUGUCCCACUCUGUCCAGUGAUGACCUGGUGGUCUCUACAAGCCUGGCCUGUUCAGCUGUCUUGGGCCAUUUGUAAGUUGCACACUGUCAUAGUACCCUCUGCCUUGACUGAGCAACUGGGCACCUGGGAGUCAAUGAGGAGGCACAGAGGAAAAUGUUAGUGGGAAGAGGACACUCUUCUCUCCACCCCACCCCCUUAUCAUGGAAUAACACACAGUUGAGGAAUGUAUCAGGUUACUUUGGGGAAAAAGAAUUCAUGCUCCAUAUUUCAAAAGAGGAAAUUUAACACAAAGAAUUGUUAGACAAUGUGGAAAGGCUGAAAGAGCAGGGAAAGAAUACUGAGGGGAUCCAGAAAUUAGGACUGCCAGAAGCAGCUACCACCCCAGGGCUCUGGAAACAAAACGGAAAAGAGCUUAUAGAACAGAGGAGCUGGAAGUAUGUGCCUGAGGAUCGAAUGAUCAGAUGUCUAAGGGAGGGAUCCCGUGCAGCUGGUGUCAAGAUCUCUGAGAGGGGUCACCUCACAGCUGGUGCUAAUGAAAUCGCUAGGUGGUGUUUCGGGGGGCCUUGAGGAGCUCUGGUGUUUUAUGCUUUAGCUCAGAAAGAAUUUGGUGAGAGGCAAAGUGAUAGAUAAGAAGUGAUUUAUUAGGCUAGGAUGCUUGUGAGGCUUACAAGCGGGUGGGUGAGAGGGUGCUGUGCCCCAAGAACUUAGUAGGCUACAGUUUCAUAAUUAAAAGAAAAGUGGGGAGGGGGAAAAGACCACUUUUUUUUUUUUUUUAGUAGACAUUAAACUUCCAUUUUUAGCUCCUCCUCAUCAGGUGGGGGAGUUUUCUUUUCCCUACAUGGUUAAGCCGGGACUGUCAGGGCACUCUGGUAAAAUUAUUUCAGGUUGUAGGACAAUGAGGGUCUUUCACUUUGAAAUGCCUCCUUUCCAUAAAUUAUUAUUUUUAUGUGUGCAGAGAUCACGUCCUAGGGAUUAUUAACUCACUGAGCUUACUGGGCAGGAUGUGGAUUUCAUGCCACCAUUGUUUUUUUGUUUGGGGGCAUGUCUCAUGCUUUUGUUGCGUGGUUUUGUUGCU